Molecule: ribosomal RNA, 2324 nt
Filed under: Triticum aestivum (bread wheat)
Lineage: Eukaryota; Viridiplantae; Streptophyta; Magnoliopsida; Poales; Poaceae
Description: partial small subunit ribosomal RNA
Source: RNAcentral
GAGGUGAGGGAAAGGAGUUUUUUUUUGAGUACGUGUGUUAGGUCUAGUGCCGCCUCAGUGGGUGUGAGGGAGGCGAGAGCGGGGGUGUCGGCGUGUUGGCUGCCGGAGCAGAGGGUGGCGGCGGCGGCGGAGAGGGAGCGUACGGAGCGACCGUGGAGAGGGAGUGGGCGUAGUGGCCGCGGAGAGGGAGAGCCCGGCAACAACGGAGAGGCAACCGGGUCAGCAACAGCGGGGACUACACGGCACCGUGGCACUGGGCCGGAGUGUCCGUGCUGGUCCCACUGUUGUCGAGGGGCUGCGGCGGCGGGAGGCGUUCCUCGUUGCUGUUGAGCUUCGAGACGCCGUGCCGUACGAGACUCGCUACGCGGCGCCCCCGUGGCGGCGGAGUCGGUGGCCGCACCGGCUGGUGGGCAGGUGCAGGGGUAGCGACGGCGGCCGGCCGGUGUGCUGGAGUGCGAGCAGGUCGAGCUUCGUGCGCGGUAGCACCGGGCGGAGGCCGACGAAGUCGUCCGGUUCUUUGGCUUUGCGGGGGGCGCGGGCCGCUGGAGCCGUAGAGGUAGCUGGCAGAGUCGUUCGCGAUGGAGCGGGCCGAGGGCGUAACGACUACGUUCGGUUCUUUGUCCCUCACGGCCGUCAUCAUGAGAUUUAGGUAGUUACGUUGACUUAGGUUUGUACACUUAGUUCAACACCGUCAAACACAAGAAGUGACCACCGUAGCACAAAAAAUGUGACUAUAACUUACCAAGAUGGUGUGUUAAAACCGACGUGCGUGAACCAUACCUGUUGAACAGUCACUGUUUCGAAGCGUACAACUUAAUACGGUCUGUACUUUAAGAUUUGUUCUGUAAUCUUCGAAAACCACUAGAGUUUCUACUACUCCUCGAACCAGGACGACUGGUCCAAUGUCAAUUCUUUAUAUAGUGUCCGAACUCAUUGAACCUUCUACUUGUACGUGUAGGUGUACUACUGUUAGUACUAGUGUAUGUAUGGUACUUAAAUUCCCUACCGGUUCACACGUUCGGUCAAUGACCCGUUACGAACUGCUCCCUGUCUAUUUACGGAGAUAUCGGUUAUAAAACUACGCUAGUCAACUACUUCGAUACAUAGAACAAAGAUCGGCCGGUAAUACGCUAACCUUGUCAAACGUCAGGUUACAGGUAAAGGGUUCAAUGAUAUCCAAGGAAAGACGUUCGUACAAUCGUGUUUCAAAAUAGUGUAUGAAGUGUCAUGUUUCUAACCUCAGUCCUACAAUGUAGACAGGACGUAAAGAAGUACGAGUAUCUUAACGUUCCUCUAAAAUGGUUCUAAAAGAACCAUUUUAGAACCUUUUGAAAAUCUUACGAAAAUACACGAACAAUAAAUGGUGAAGAAAGGAUGGUUAAGGUCUUGAAUCAUAGGUUAGGUACCUAACCUCCGUCAUUUACUUAUAAUCAGUGUGAUGUACCGCGUGUACUGUCUACAAUACGCAUCCACAGGCAGCAAUAUCCGGUAUUCGUCUUGUCUUUCAUCAUAAAACAAUGAACAGCCUCGGUCGAUGUCUGGGAUAAAAAAUUCUAUGCACCUUUCAUCAUACCACGUCUACCUGCGUACCGAGUUUGGUAAAUCGAAAAAUUCCAACUUGAUACAUUUCGAACAGAUUUCAUAGUGGGGAAGUCUCCCUGAUUAUACGUUAUGACUGUACCAUCCAAGAAAACCAAACAAAGAAAACAGGUUUAGGCAAUCCGUGCUAACUACUUUACUAGUUUAUUUUGAGUAAACUAUUACGUGCAAUAAAUGUUUUCGGGGUAUGGACCUCAGUAACCCAUUAUGAGCAGUUACAACACUGAGCCACGCCCUUGCUAAAGACCCUACCUAAGCAACUGUAAAUAUGGGAGUAAUACCGGACAUUGCACCUUCAAUAUACGUUACAACACAAAUAUGGUCUUACUUCCAGUUGUUCUGCCCCAUCUCCCAUAUGGACCUGAAGGAACCCCUACAUCUAGUUGUUCUCCACCAUCUCCAGUUGUACUCUUCUAGUUUAUUCUUGAUAAACUAUUACGUGCAAUAAAUGUUUUCGGGGUAUGGACCUCAUUAACCCAUUAUGAGCAGUUACAACACUGAGCUUACUUCCAGUUGUUCUGCCCCAUCUCCAUUUGGACCUGAAGGAACCCCUACAUCUAGUUGUUCUCCCCCAUCUCCGGUUGUACUCUUCGAUCUCAUCUCCAGGUAAAGUUUCAUUUGACUGUCCUCCUGUUUCGAUGGUUGACGAAUGUCCUUUUCGAACUUGGAUCAGCUCGACCCUUGUGACUAUUUCUUUUCCACAUUGAAUCGAAACAUUUUAAGUC